UUUUUUUUUAUUAUUAUUUUUUUGAGUCUUUAAAUUUCAGCUAUUAUUUAUCCCUUUUUAAAUCUGAAGAUUUAAAACAGAAGACACCAGAAUAAUGCAAAAUUUUCAACAUUUUCUCUUUCUGAAAACAGGCAGAAGAUGCUUAGAGAAAAAUUAUAUAUGGAAUAGUUGGAUGCAUAUUCUUUCUCCCUGUCUUCCUUUCCUCCCCUCCCAAGGCAUCUACUAGUAAAUAAGCAAGGGAUUUUCAUUUGGCUCAGUUAAAGGGUUCUGAUGAUGCAAAAAUUAUUUUAUCAUGCAUUACAAAUCAUUUUACCUAGUACUGUUUGAAGAGAUUCAGAAUUAAAUAAUAAGAUCCUGGGGUUUGAAAGCUUUGAAAGCAAUACAGAGAUGUAGAUCUGAAUCUACUCCAUACUAAAGACAGUACACUCUUUAUUUCCCACAAACAAGAGUAGUGUUUAUGUUUUUUCAUUAAGUGAAGGAAAAUAUAUAAAAGGGCAGCUGAAAAGAAGAUCCAUGUCAUUAAACAAAAGGAAAUAACAUUUACCAAGAUACUUAUGUUUAUUAAGGAAGUGCUGAGAGUGUGCUUUUGUUCAUGCCAUGAAAAAAAAAAACAUAUUUUCAUGCAUUUUUCUCAUGUCACAUUGUAAAAAUUCAGCUAUAAGUUAUACUAUGAUCCCCUUCAGUUUACUCCCAGUGUACUUAGAGAAAAUACAUAGUGACUGUAGAUUUUGAAUUGUAAAGCCAAAGCCUAGAGAAUUAAUGAGCACUAUAGUAAUGUAUUACAGACAAAAUCCUGCAAAACUGUAGGCCAAGUCCUGCCAAAUAUCUUCAUCUCAGCUGUCAGACCAUGUAACAGGAAAAGUUUUAUGCUUCAGCUGUAUGCAGCAAGUUCUGUCUGGAUUAUGCUAAUAUAGAAACACUUUCCUAUUCCACUUUUAAUACCAGCUUCAAAAUGAGAUUGCUAGUGUGAUUGGUUUUAUGGGAGAGUCAUAAGCCUACAGGCAUAUUACUGAUGUUGUUUAUGGCAAGGAGUUACAAAUUCAGACAUGAAAGCAAAGAAAUUCUCAUUAGCAUUAAUAUUUUAAGAAGUCACGUAAAGAUUCAACAUUAACACUGCAUUGAAAAGGUCAGUAUUAUGGCAAUAAUUAUCUUUAAGGUGUUAGCUUUAAAUUUUAUCAAAAGACAUGCAUGUUCAGACAUUUUUCUGAUCAAUGAAAAAAGACUGAUUAGAAAACCAAGCAAAAGGGACUGUUUGGAGAAGAGACAGUUGGAUUUUUUUCUUUCUAAAUCAUUAAAUCCUGAAACCAAAAUUCUUUAGUAGCACAGAGAACUGAGUCUGUACUAUCUGGGCCCUCAUCAUGUCAGCAGAAAACAUUUGUGUGUAUAACAUUCAGUGGAAGGGAAGAUUGUAUGUUUAAUAUCAGCCAGCCUGACAUCAAAAGAAUGUGGCCUACAGGGUAUAGGAAAUAGACUUCAGCCAAAUUACAAAAAAGUUAAAGAACUGUCCUAGGACUUGAAAACCAAGUAAUAUGUAUCGAUUGAUUGCUGCUCAACCUGUGUUACCUGAACCCUGCUGACAAGCUAUUGAUACAACUGUUGAAUGUUAAUUUGUGACUCUACCACAGCUUGCUAUUGGCAAUGUACACAAAUUUGAAUUUUUAAAUGACUGUUUGACAAAACCCUACUGUGCAUGCAAUGGUGAUUUUAUGUUAUAGAGAAUAGUCCAUCUACUAUACAAAACAAAGAACAAGGGAAAGGUUGGCAAAGGCAUUCACAUGUUUAAUGAACUUGUGUUAUUUUAGGUCAUCUACUCAGAAUGGCAAAAACUGGUCUCAUAUGGCUAAUUCUAAAACAUCAUAGAAUUUCUAAGUAUCUUUCUUUCUAAAAAUUGAAACCUGAAGCAUGGUCAUAACCAACCCAAUGGAAUGCUAACAUUAUCCUCCUUCUGACAGGUAGAGGGAAUUGCAAACAAAAUUAAAAAUAAAUACUGGCACAGUGUAAGUGAUCUUAUUGCAGAACUGGAAUCAUUCAGGAUGCAUGGGACUGAUUCAUGCAGGAGAUCCACCCUCCUGCUUAAAGCAGGACCAGCUCUGUGAUCAGACUGGGCUGUUCACAUCUUCAUCUAGUCAGACAAGCCUCAAAGGACAGACAUUACCUGAGCUUUCCAGGCAUUCUGUUAGUUAUCCUUGGUUAGUGCCACAGUGAUUUUUUUUUUCCAUGUGUAAAGGUGGCAUCUCAAUUUUCCUUUUUUUUUUCUGCCAUGCCCAUCAAUAAGGAGUCUGGGUUCAUCUUGUUGGUAACCUGCCCUUAGCUACUGGAAAGAUGCUAUUAAAUCUCCACAAUGCCUUCUUGUCUUCAUGCCAGGCAAGCUUUUCUCUCAGCUUCUUCCCUCAUCUGUCAUUAUGCUCUAGUAAAUCACAUUUAAAAUGUGCAUAGAGAAUAGAAGUAUAAAAGUAAGAUAUAUAUGUAAUGAUUUAAAA
RNAcentral lists this long non-coding RNA (2480 nucleotides) under Taeniopygia guttata (zebra finch). RNAcentral describes it as "lncRNA (ENSTGUG00000018800.1)". Lineage: Eukaryota; Metazoa; Chordata; Aves; Passeriformes; Estrildidae. The record is from RNAcentral.